ACUGUGCAAGAAACUACAGCCUGGGGGCCACCGAAGGGCAACCUGCCCUGAUCACAACCCACCAACGUGGCAGUGACCAAUGUCUCAGGUCCCGGUACCACUUCCGUUGAACUCUUUGGAGAUCUACACAUGGUAGGAAUCAACCAAAUAACUCAACUUUGCCCACAACCGCCAAGGAACUAUUACGUAAAGGGAGCUGGCGUCUGACGGCAGAACAGACCGGGGCUCUCUGACCAGUGGGGGCAGGGAGCUCCAGCACCAGGAACAGAACAGCUCCCUGCGAUGCCUAAAAAGCUCCUCUUUUCUUUGAGUGAGGCUCCACAGUUAGGAGGACCAGCGAGAGAGACCUUUGCAUGCCGUGCCCUCCCGGAACGGGGCACUUACAGGAGAAGGAAGGAAGGCAGUAGACAGUCUCCAGGUGGAGGAUGCCCAGGGCACCGGAGAAGAACAGCAACCACCAACCACCGGAGUGAGGCAGCUCCAGGGAGCUGGUCUUCUUGUCCCGUAUACAAGGGGGGCUGUCCCCAGGAUGCUGUCACGCCACCGGUGCCCAGGUCCUACAGGUUUUCCCACAACUUAUUUGUUUACCUCAUGGCUUCUGCCUUCCCACAGCCCUGUCACUCACGGCAUCUGGUUGCUUUCCUUCCAGGCUUCUGGACAACUUCAGAAUCUGUCCUUCCAAGGGGACACUAAGAUCUGGAGUUCUCUUAUAGGUCAGACGUCCCAUGGCAGCCUCCGUAGAGUCCUACACGACCCUCUGGCACGAAGUGCUAAGACAGACCGAGACACCACAAAGUAAGGAGUGGGGGAGGGGCCUGGGGGACAUGGACACAGGAUGGACCCACGCAACAGGAAGUACCUGGAGUUUUGUUCCUAAGGGGCUGAGGGAAGCAAAGCACCUUGCCCAGGACAAUCUCUGCCUUCCUUACCCAUUGUGAUGGUUAGUAUUGAUUGAUCAUCAGCUCGACGAAAUCUGUGGUCACCUGGGAGAUGGACAUGCCUCUGAGGGAGUGUCUAGACUGGGUUAACUGAAGUGGAUGAUCUGGAUUGGGUUCCUCACACUCCGCACCAUCCCAUGGGGUGAUGUCAUAGAUGGAGAAAAAGGGAAGAGGAUGCUGAGCAUCGACCUUCAUCACACUCUGCUUCCCGCCUGCAGAUGUAACAUGGCCAGCCACCUCGGGUUCCUACCACCAUACUUCCCUGCCAUGAUGGGCAGUAUCCCUUGGGACAAUAAGCCAAAAUUACUCCUUCCUUCCUUCCCUCCUUUCUUCCCUUCUUCCUUCUUUCCUUCCUUCCUUCCCUCCUUCCUUCCUUCAAUCACUUUUGCCGGGUAUUUUGGUGUAGCAGCAAGGGAAGUAACUAAUAACAUACUGGGCUACCCAGUCUUCUCUCACAGUUUAAGGUGUCAGUAAUCCUGAAGCCCACACUGAAGCUAGCACAAGCAGAGCUCACGCCAGGGAGCCAUACACUACUGUAAGGAUGAAAAGUCAGUUCUCUAACGCCGAACACCAAAGGCCCUGAACUCGCACACCACAGAGGGGGAAACUCUGGGAGAGUCCAAUCAGGCACAAGAACAGCCUCUCAGGGAACGCCCACCGU
Molecule: non-coding RNA, 1599 nt
Organism: Peromyscus maniculatus bairdii (prairie deer mouse)
Lineage: Eukaryota; Metazoa; Chordata; Mammalia; Rodentia; Cricetidae
Source: RefSeq, a predicted model, not a curated record